This 244-nucleotide ribosomal RNA is filed under the name uncultured bacterium. RNAcentral describes it as "partial 16S ribosomal RNA". It matches the Rfam family "Bacterial small subunit ribosomal RNA", at positions 15 to 225 of the family's 1533-position model. The record is from RNAcentral.
GAUCCUGGCUCAGGAUGAACGCUGGCGGCGUGCUUAAUACAUGCAAGUCGAACGAAGCACCUCUCCCGAAGACAGACCCAGCUUGCUGGGGAUUGAUUCAUUUGAGGUGACUGAGUGGCGGACGGGUGAGUAACGCGUGGGUAACCUGCCUUAUACAGGGGGAUAACAGUUGGAAACGACUGCUAAUACCGCAUAAGCGCACAGUACCGCAUGGUACGGUGUGAAAAACUCCGGUGGUAUAAGA